This 409-nucleotide ribosomal RNA is filed under the name uncultured Glomus. RNAcentral's name for it is "SSU rRNA". It matches the Rfam family "Eukaryotic small subunit ribosomal RNA", at positions 780 to 1187 of the family's 1831-position model. The record is from RNAcentral. Lineage: Eukaryota; Fungi; Glomeromycota; Glomeromycetes; Glomerales; Glomeraceae.
GCAGGCUAACGCUUGAAUACAUUAGCAUGGAAUAAUGAAAUAGGACAUCGCAUUCUAUUUUGUUGGUUUCUAGGACCGAUGUAAUGAUUAAUAGGGAUAGUUGGGGGCAUUAGUAUUCAAUUGUCAGAGGUGAAAUUCUUGGAUUUAUUGAAGACUAACUACUGCGAAAGCAUUUGCCAAGGAUGUUUUCAUUAAUCAAGAACGAAAGUUAGGGGAUCGAAGACGAUCAGAUACCGUCGUAGUCUUAACCAUAAACUAUGCCGACUAGGGAUCGGAUGAUGUUGAUUUUUUAAUGACUCAUUCGGCGCCUUACGGGAAACCAAAGUGUUUGGGUUCCGGGGGGAGUAUGGUCGCAAGGCUGAAACUUAAAGGAAUUGACGGAAGGGCACCACCAGGCGUGGAGCCUGCG